UUACCAGGGUUUGACAUGCUUGAAGUAGAAACUCGAAAGAGGGACGAUCAGUAUCCAAUCUGGAACUUGCACAGGUGCUGCAUGGCUGUCGUCAGCUCGUGCCGUGAGGUGUUAGGUUAAGUCCUGCAACGAGCGCAACCCUCGUCGCUAGUUAAUUUCUCUAUCGAUACUGCCCGUACAACGCGGAGGAAGGUGGGGAUGACGUCAAGUCAGCAUGGCCCUUACACCCUGGGCUACACACACGCUACAAUGGGUGAUACAACGGGAUGCAAUAGAGCGAUCUGGAGCUAAUCCUAAAAAUCAUCCUCAGUUCGGAUUGUAGGCUGCAACUGCCUGCAUGAAGUUGGAGUUGCUAGUAACCGCAGGUCAGCACACUGCGGUGAAUACGUUCUCGGGCCUUGUACACACCGCCCGUCACGUCAUGGAAGUCGAUAACACCUGAAGUCGAUAGGCUAACCCGCAAGGGAGGCAGUCGCCGAAGGUGGGACCGGUAACUGGGCCGAAGUCGUAACAAGGUAGCC
This 521-nucleotide ribosomal RNA is filed under the name uncultured bacterium. RNAcentral's name for it is "bacterial SSU rRNA". It matches the Rfam family "Bacterial small subunit ribosomal RNA", at positions 971 to 1501 of the family's 1533-position model. The record is from RNAcentral.